CGCUCAGCCCACAUUGCACAGUCGAUAAAUAGACGUCUCCCGAUAGCAGGAGGGGCUGGUCGACCAGAUCCGCCGCUUCGUUCCACACGCCAAAGCUUCCGGGAGAGGAAGAGAUCCCAGCCGAGGCGGACGGCCAUGGUCGGCGACUUCUGAAGAAGCGCGCAGCCGCAGCCGGCCCGUCUUUCUUCACCGCCGCCCGUAGAAGUUCUCAACCCUAGCAGUAAUCAAUUCAGAGCAUUCUGUAGCUGAUUACAAAGUCCUUGGCAAUGAAGCAUGAAGCUUGGGACAAAGCCUGGCACAUUCUACAUUGAGCAGGUCGUCGGGUAUUCUUUGUUUUUUCAUCUUUGCACUCAGUACCUGUAUCUACUGUCUGUGUGGAUCUCUUUUGGUUUCAUGUUCGUGUAUCCUGUUCAUGUGGAUUCCUUGUUCUGAUUACAAUGCCCGCCGAGCAGUAUUUUGUGGUGGGAAAACGUUUACCGUCUGUGAUGUAGCGAAUUUGGUUCCACAAUACCAGGUAUUAUCAAUGUAGCACACAUCUUAAUUUCACUUUUA
This is a long non-coding RNA of Lolium perenne, 552 nucleotides long. RefSeq lists it as uncharacterized. The record is from RefSeq and is a predicted model, not a curated record. Lineage: Eukaryota; Viridiplantae; Streptophyta; Magnoliopsida; Poales; Poaceae.